RNAcentral lists this ribosomal RNA (416 nucleotides) under uncultured bacterium. RNAcentral describes it as "bacterial SSU rRNA". It matches the Rfam family "Bacterial small subunit ribosomal RNA", at positions 791 to 1204 of the family's 1533-position model. The record is from RNAcentral.
UAGUCCACACCGUAAACGAUGAGAGCUAGUUGUCUGCAGGCAUGCCUGUAGGUGACGCAGCUAACGCAUUAAGCUCUCCGCCUGGGGAGUACGGCCGCAAGGUUAAAACUCAAAGAAAUUGACGGGGGCCCGCACAAGCGGUGGAGCAUGUGGUUUAAUUCGAUGCAACGCGAAGAACCUUACCUGCCCUUGACAUACUCGGAACUUUCCAGAGAUGGAUUGGUGCCUUCGGGAAUCGAGAUACAGGUGCUGCAUGGCUGUCGUCAGCUCGUGUCGUGAGAUGUUGGGUUAAGUCCCGCAACGAGCGCAACCCUUGUCCUUAGUUGCCAGCACGUAAUGGUGGGAACUCUAGGGAGACUGCCGGUGACGAAACCGGGAGGAAGGUGGGGGACGACGUCAAGUCAUCAUGGCCCUUA